This 216-nucleotide ribosomal RNA is filed under the name Glomeromycotina sp. Its description in RNAcentral is "partial small subunit ribosomal RNA". The stretch from base 44 to 216 matches the Rfam family "Eukaryotic small subunit ribosomal RNA", at positions 690 to 864 of the family's 1831-position model. Lineage: Eukaryota; Fungi; Glomeromycota. The record is from RNAcentral.
GGGUCAGUAGGUUGGUCGUGCCACCGGUACGUACUGGUCUCACUGAUUCCUCCUUCCUGAAGAACCGUAAUGCCAUUAAUUUGGUGUUGCGGGGAAACAGGACUGUUACUUUGAAAAAAUUAGAGUGUUUAAAGCAAGCUACCGCCUGAAUACAUUAGCAUGGAAUAAUGAAAUAGGACGAUCGAUCCUAUUUUGUUGGUUUCUAGGAUUGACGUA